UUUUUUUUUUUUUUUGGGUUUUCGUUUACAUGUAAUGAAGUUUCUCUCAACAUUUCACUAAUUUUAUUGUUGUGCCAUAUACGAAUUAAUUUCUUCUUUACGAAGUGAUGUUAAAUCCUCUAACGUUACCAUUUUAAAUCUAUGAUGAGUUAUACAAUCAUGGAAAACACCAUUUUGCUUGCCCUUUCUUGCAAUAAGAAUUUUUUGAGUCAUCUUUUCUCAUUAUGGAAAGAAACUAUAUCCCACUAUCCUUGUAAGGGCACAAACAAAUAUGCCCUUCACUAUGAAGGAAGCGUAAAUGAAGAACAAACUGCUCUUUUCCUCUUAAAUCUCAAGUUGAAAUGAAGCAACCUUCAAGCAUGGAGUCGGGAUUAUAGUGGAGCUCAAUUACGAAGGAUAUUGCAUGAUUGUAUCACAACAAAGGAAAAAAAAAAGUAUAUUGCUCAAUAACCAUGAAAAUAAUUUCAUAACCAUAAAAGCAAAUGGACACAUUUUCUCUUAACAUCAAGAACAUAAGUACCCCAAUACAAAUAGUAAUAGAGAGUACAUGAUACGUGUAAGUGAUGCAUGCCCGGCUGCAUAACCAAAUCUCCAUAGCCCACAAGUCCAUAACCCCAAAUCUUAGAACCUCUACACAAAAACUACCAACCUUUACUAAUCAAAGCCAAAAUAAGCUGCCUUGUAUGCAUCUCUUACAUCCCAUGUUUUAUAUGUCACUAACCAUACCCAAAAGAAGGAAAAAAAGGAACCCAAAGAAAAAAAAAAAAAGAGCCAGAGAAGGACUAAAAACUAAUAAAGGAUUAGUAAACAAGAAGGUUCAAACAUCAUAUUGGAAAUAUAUAAGACCUAAAUUAAGGUAAACUCGGACCGCUACCCUCAAUUCCCCGCAAUGCAAUAUAUCGGUCUCCCAAUUCUGCCCUUUCUACCAAAAAGCUAGAAACUCGGGAGAGCGAAAUUGCAAAGCCUUUGUUGUUUAGGAGAUCACCAGCUUGCCAUAGCUAAACAAGGGUUCUCCUCUUCCUCCGGCGCGGCCGCCAUCUUGCACUUCCUCCAUAGAAGUCACAGGACCUCCACAAGUGGCCACCAAUCAUUGUGUAAUACUAAGAAAAGAUGAACGGCCAAAGUCCUAAAGCAAAAUGGGGUGCUAGAGGAAAAUGGCCAAAGUUGGCUAAGCUAGCAAAAGAAAGUGAAACUACUGGAGAAUAAAAAUAAAGUUCACGUAGGUAUGAAAGAAGGGGACAUGAUGGGUCGUAUAUAAAGGCGAGAUUGUAGUAGUAGUAGCUUUGCCUUUUAGUUGGAUGUGAU
This 1305-nucleotide long non-coding RNA is filed under the name Coffea arabica (coffee). Its description in RNAcentral is "long non-coding RNA (CARA_LNC007945)". The record is from RNAcentral. Lineage: Eukaryota; Viridiplantae; Streptophyta; Magnoliopsida; Gentianales; Rubiaceae.